Molecule: ribosomal RNA, 441 nt
Filed under: uncultured bacterium
Lineage: Bacteria
Description: partial 16S ribosomal RNA
Rfam family: Bacterial small subunit ribosomal RNA
Source: RNAcentral
CCUACGGGAGGCAGCAGUGGGGAAUAUUGCACAAUGGGGGAAACCCUGAUGCAGCGACGCCGCGUGAGUGAAGAAGUAUUUCGGUAUGUAAAGCUCUAUCAGCAGGGAAGAAGAAAGACGGUACCUGACUAAGAAGCCCCGGCUAACUACGUGCCAGCAGCCGCGGUAAUACGUGGGGGGCAAGCGUUAUCCGGAUUUACUGGGGGUAAAGGGAGCGUAGACGGGUGUGCAAGUCUGGAGGGAAAGCCCAGGGAUUAAACCUUGUACUGCUUUUGAAACUGUGGAGCUAGAGUGCUGGAGAGGUAAGUGGAAUGCGUGGUGUAGCGGUGAAAUGCGUAGAUAUUAGGAUGAACACCAGUGGCGAAGGCGGCUUACUGGACAGUAACUGACGUUGAGGCUCGAAAGCGUGGGGAGCGAACAGGAUUAGAUACCCCAGUAGUC